Non-coding RNA from Salmo salar (Atlantic salmon), 58 nucleotides. The record is from Rfam. NCBI's taxonomy places the organism in Eukaryota, Metazoa, Chordata, Actinopteri, Salmoniformes, Salmonidae.
UGGCUCAGUUGGUAGAGCAUGGUGUUUGCAAUGCCAGGGUUGUGGGUUAGUUUCCCAC